AGCUCUGAGGUGUCCCCAACAUAUUAGAUUGCAAAUCUUAAGUAGCAGAUUAACGUCUGCCGGGGCUU
This 68-nucleotide transfer RNA is filed under the name Sineleotris saccharae. Its description in RNAcentral is "tRNA-Cys". The record is from RNAcentral. Lineage: Eukaryota; Metazoa; Chordata; Actinopteri; Gobiiformes; Odontobutidae.